This is a long non-coding RNA of Phocoena sinus (vaquita), 2068 nucleotides long. Lineage: Eukaryota; Metazoa; Chordata; Mammalia; Artiodactyla; Phocoenidae. The record is from Ensembl.
ACCACCCGCCGGGAGCAGCCGGCCUGCUCUGGGUGACCGAGCCGCGCGGUUCCGACGCGGCUCCUUCUCUAAAAUGAGCGGGUCCCUGCCGCGCAGAGCGCGCGUAGCCCGGCAGCGCCUAGUGGAUUACAGCAGCCGCCCCGGCCGACCGCCGCCUCCAGCCCGGCACCUCCGGUAAGAGCCGUCCCCUCCACGCGCCCCCAGCGCUGCCACCGAGAAGCUCGAGGCGCCCCCCCCGUUUGGGCAGCUCGGAGAUCCCUGCCCGACCCCCUCCCCUUCCCCGGGACCUGGGAGUGGCUGCCUGCGCCCUCUGCCCCAGAUCACUCCAUCUCUGAGCGGGCGUCCCCUGGGGCCCCGGGUGGGGUCCAGAUGAGCUCAGAAGUCGAAGGGAAGCCCUAUUUCCUCUGGAGGUUAUGGGAGGUGGGUAGCGGCAUAGACGGAGAGCCCCUCGGUCCCUACCCUGGGAAGAGUGUGCAGAUGCUUCCUGGAUGCGUCAGCUUUGCUGGGGGGUCACUAAAGGCACUCUGUAGUAUAGAGCAGUGUUUUGCGGUUUGUCUGUGGUCAGAGGUACCUGGGAGGCUAACAGGUGUGUUUUGAGGGUUGGAGCUUGGGGGUGGGGUGGAUUCUGUGUAUCCAGGAUGUGCUUGGUUUGUUAACCUAGGCUUUGAUGAGUGAUGCUAAUUUCUAGGGUUUAUGGUUUAUUGGGCCUUGUAUAUGAGAUGGAAUUUUAAAUAUUAACUGCUUCUCUAGUUCUUAGAUAAUUUUUGUAACAAUUCAAGAAAGGUUCCUCACACAUCUAAUAAUCUGUCAGGUGAAUUUGGAUUAUUCUAUGCCACAAAAUGGAUGCAUGUUUUGAGAGGUAGUAGUAUCAGAAAAUCUGGUUCAGGUCUUGGGGAAAAACCAAGAGACAUUUCAGAAAUUCGAAGCAUGUCUAAGUUCAGACAUCGCGUGUGUUUCUUAUUUGCCGGAUUGGGAAAAGAGUAGAUAUUUUGCUCUCUAAAUGUACUGUCGUGGUGUGUGUGUGUUGCCUGCGAAUAAAUAUUAUAUAGCAACAUUUCCAACUCUACUUCAAAAUUACUGGACCAAAAUAUCUAUGAGUCGAAAGAAAAUUGUUUGCAGAAAAAAAUGCUAUUUUCUCCCACGGAUUUUGAACGGCACUUGAGGAUGCAGUUCUCAAAUCCUAUUGCCUAUUCUCUCGUGGACACGUUGUGAAAUGUUAAAACCUUUGGGACAAUCUGCCGCAUUGCGCAUGAGGUUGACCUGCGCGCGGCGGAGUAUCGUUUUUUCAACCACCCAGAGGAAAACCCUAACAUUUUAAUGUUCUCCCAAAUAUUCCAGUGUAACCGUGUUGGCCGUAAAAGCAUUUCUGAACAAUAAAUGACAUCUUUGUAGAAAGGUAUUUUUAGUAAUUAACGACGGAAUCAUGCGAGUUUCAAAAUGGAGGGCCACGAUUAGUGGUCAGUUGACGUCUAGCAGAAUUGUUGUGGAUCACUAUGAUCACUAACAAAUUAGAAACUCAGUGAUUUUUAAAUCUGGAACGUCUGUAUUUUGUAAAUAUUUCUCUAUUACGGUACUGCUGAGAUCAUUCUUUCAUGUUGGUUUAGAGCAUUACCUACUGAAAAGCAGGGCCCUGGUCAGGGGCUCACAAGGCCCUCCCCUGGCAACUCCAGAGCCUAAGGAGCCCCUAGGUUGCCUGAAAGCUCGGUGGGGGUGGGGAUGAGUUGUGGCCAUGAUGGCCAAGCCCUUGUGUUCAGAGCUUCAGUCACCUUUCCCUGGGUUCGAUGGCUGAGCGCGCCCAAGUGACUGAGAACCUGGGCGGGCUGCAGGUCCGAUUACGCAGCAGAGGGUGACGUCAUGGGCAGAUAUGGAGGACUAGGGGGCUCUUUGUAAGUCCCAUGGUAGCAUUAAGAGUUUAAAUGGUCAAUUGCAUUAAGACCUUAAAUGGUCAAUUGCAUCUAAGGGAAUAAAUAAUCUGCAAAUCACAUUUGAACGCAGGCCAUUUAGUCCAAGAGGAACUAGUUAACGCUUUUGCCACUGCCAGAAAUGCCCCCACUGUCCCGGUUAACCC